CCAGAAUCACAUGUCUCCUAACCUCUCAAGAGCCCUUCAGAACCAGAGUGUCAGGACUGCUGCAUAUACUCUCCCCGAUGGCACCAUUGUAGACCCGAGACAACAACAACCCAUUUCCCCAAACCUGGCCAAGGCACUCGGCAACCCAGCUCUGCGUGAAGCCUCCUAUUCUCUCCCCGAUGGUACCAUUGUGAUUGACCCCAAGAAACCAAAGUCCCCAAACCUUUCAGCAGCUCUUCAGAACCCUUACCUGAAAGUUGCAUCUUACACCCUGCCUGAUGGUACAAUCAUCAUUGAUCCACGGAAACCGGUCUCUCCAAACCUCUCCGCCGCCCUUCAAAAGUCUGCCCUGCGGAACGCCUCCUUCACACUACCAGAAGGGGUCCAUGACCCCAAUAGACCCCUUUCACCCAACCUGGCUAAGGCCCUUGGUAAUCCAGCCCUGAAAGGAGCUUCAUACACCCUCCCAGAUGGAACUAUUAUUGUAGACCCGAGGAAACCAAAGAGUCCAAGCCUGGCUGCUGCACUACAGAAUCCUUACCUUAAGGGUGUGUCCUUAACCCUGCCUGAUGGAACAAUCAUCAUUGACCCACGAAAACCAGUUGGCCCUGACCUGUCCAGAGCUCUCAUGAAUCAGAACCUGCGUAGUGCUUCGUACAUCCUCCCGGAUGGAUCCCUGGUUAUUCCGGGCCAAAAACCCUCUACUCCAAACCUUUCAGCCGCUCUCAGGCAAAACCAUGCACUUCGGUCGGAAGGUCUCUAUCAUCUCAGAGAAAACUCUGUACUGUCCGGCACACCCAAACCCACCCCUCCUAAUCUAUCCGCUGCACUGCGGAAAGACGAACUCCGUGAUGUCAAAUAUAGGCUGCCUGACGGCUCUGUUCUCACACGCCGUUUCCACGUCCCAAAUCUGUCUGAAGCCGUCCAAAACCAGCAGCUUCGCUAUGCCUCAUAC
Gasterosteus aculeatus aculeatus (three-spined stickleback) is the source of this 955-nucleotide long non-coding RNA. The record is from Ensembl. Lineage: Eukaryota; Metazoa; Chordata; Actinopteri; Perciformes; Gasterosteidae.